RNAcentral lists this long non-coding RNA (3310 nucleotides) under Homo sapiens (human). RNAcentral describes it as "non-protein coding lnc-PQLC1-104:3". The record is from RNAcentral. Lineage: Eukaryota; Metazoa; Chordata; Mammalia; Primates; Hominidae.
GUACGUGCGCGUGUAAAUACGAGCGCCGCGCGGGGCCGGAGCCGGCUCCGUCCUGGGACCAACCCUGCGUGCCGGCCGUGAAGAACUGCGUUCCUGAGCCCUACCUACUUUUCCUCGGAGCGCCGGCACCGUGGAGCAGCGGCAUGCAACGCGGGCCGCUGUCGCCCAGUCCCAGUGACGGUCUUGGCGCGCUCGGAACUACGUAUCCCGGCGUGCACCGCGGACAGAGCAUGGCGGGACUACGAGUCCCAGCGUUCAACGCAGGCCUGCGUGCCAUUACCCCAUCACGCGCUGAGACCCAGCAUCCCGAGACUACGAGUUCCGGCAUGCACCGCGAGCCGCUCUCCUCCACUCCCAUCGCGCACUGUGAGUCGCAACGUCGCGGGACUACGGGUCCCGGCAUGCCUUGCGCGCCGCGGGCCCAGAGACGUGAGGCUGUCGGCGUCCUGGUGGCCCCGCCUCGUGUCCCCCCCCGGACCCCACGCCGCGGGAGCUUGGGGGUUGCGGUCUUCUCUUCCUCCGACCUCACCUUCGAUGCGGAAGCGCAGGGGCAGGUGCGCCGCCCUCGGCCCGCGCAGGCGGUGGGCCCGUCUGGGGCAAGGCGCCCGGAAGCGCCUGGUUGGUUCAGAAAAUCGGACCGCAGCGGGAGGGCGGGCACCGGCGCGUGGUCUCAGUGGCCCCAGGCGAACCCUGAUGAGCAGCAGCCGCAAGUGGCUUACUAAAGGAGCCACUUUCUACGUUUGUCUGGAAUUUACGUGAAUUAAGCUGGCGGGCGGGCGGCCAGGCCUGUAGUCUCAGCACUUUGGGAGGCUCAGCACUUCGGGAGGCUGUGGCGGGCGGAUCACCUGAGCCUGGGAGUUGGAGACCAGCCUGCGCAACGUAGCAAGACCCUAUCUCUAAAACAGAUUCAUUAAUACUUAGCCAGGCGCGGUGGCUGAGGUCCCAGCUACUCGGCAGGCCCAGGCUGGCCUGAGCCAGACCGCUCUGGACUGUUUUAAUUUUUUCAGCCUUAAUACCUGCCAGAAUUUUUUUUUUACUAUGUAUCUUUGUCCUUACGUAUAUAAAUUUUAUAUACAAUUGAGAUUAUCCUGUAUUUGCUUUUCCCCCCUCACUUUUAUAUGGUGACUUUUCUCAUGUUAGGCUGAAUACUAACAUUUUGGAAACUGUCGGCCUGAAAACGAGCGGAGACACAGUUUCUCUAAGUAGAGAGUUUAUUUGGGCCACACUUGAGCACAAAUUCAAGGCGCCCUGAAUGUGUACUCCGAUUAGCAGUUAACAGUGGAUUUUAAAGGCAAAAAAGGGGGCCAGGGAGUGGACUAAUAGGAACUUGUUUGUGAGGAAUUCUCACUGGUUUACAGAAAUAACAUUGAUUAGUGACUGACUAUAUGUUGUUCAGCUAUUGAGUGUGGGUAUAGUGUCCAUUGUGGCGUCAUUAGGUUAAUUUAUAGCUGUUUGUGGCGCUGUUGCCACCAGUAGCAGUUUAAAGAGGUGAACACAGGUCAAGGGGUAGUAGGGCGCGAUUGUCGCCUCAUUUGAAUGUCUCUCUCGGCCUGAUAAUUAAAAGAACUCGCGUUCCUCAGAUAAAAAUUCUCUUUUCUCAAAACCAUUUAAAUGUGGUAAUUAGAAUGGCCCAGAAGGGGCACAGUGCCUUUUAGCCCUCGCCAUUACUUGCUCUUAGGAGUGCAUUUUUUGUAGCUGUGGGUUUUUGACUAUCUCUGCUGCUUUCUCCAGCCCCUACCCUCGUGACUACAAGGGAAAACGUGCGGUGCUCACGAGAGAGCCUUUAUGGGAUUUUUAAAAAAUGGGGAUUGUGGGAAAAUGGCUCCAGCAGUCACAGUUUUUCAGUUUCUCACAAUCCCAUAAAAACAGAGCAACCAGGUAACAAAACUAAAGCAUGGGCAACAUUUACAGACCACUGGAUGGUGAAGAAUUCCCAUGAACCCCUGGUUCACACUGUAAGGACACACUACUCAGCAUGGGCAACAUUUACAGACUACUGGAUGGUGAAGAAUUCCCAUGAACCCCUGGUUCACACUGUAAGGACAGACUACUCAGCAUGGGCAACAUUUACAGACCACUGGAUGAUGAAGAAUUCCCAUGAACUCCUGGUUCCAACUGUAAGGACACACUACUCAGCUGUAGCCUGAAGCCGCCUCCUUACAUACUGUAAGUUUAGCCUAUAGGUUUCUCCAUACGUAGUGAACAGUCAUCUAAUUGGAUGUGUGGACACUGUAACCUACUCUUGAAUCAGUCACAGGCAGCAGCACUUCAAACUCUGUUUCAAUAAGCCAGACACGAGCUGUAGCCACCCUGCUGUUUGCAGGCCUCACCUCUGCCUUCUGUGCCUCACUCCCUUUUCUGUCCGUAAGUCUUUGGCCACACAGUGGCACUGGAGUCUCUCUGAGCCUAUUCUGGUUUGAGGGGUUCCCUGAUUCCUGAAUCAUUCUUUGCUCAAUUAAACUCUGUAAAAUUUAAUGUUUCUAAAGUUUUCCUUUGAACACUACCAACAGCGCAAGCCCAGGGUGAUGUCGGGGCCUGCGAGAGAGAAAGUAGGGGGGCCAAGGGCUCCACACUCACUGUGUGAACAGGUUUGUCUCAAAGGUUGUUGAUAUGUAUCAGCAUUCCCUAUUUGAACCUGUUCCCACCAGCAGUAUGUGAACUUUGGUUUGAAAAAAUAAUUCUGUAAAAUGGGAAGAACCGUGUGUUAUGUAUGGACUUUGAAAUACAGACCUCGAUGGAACUGACAGACUGAUCUAGGUAGACAGAUGUAGACAUCCCUAGGUGAUUACAACUCCAACCUGGAUAGAUGCCAUGUAGUCUUCCAAUUAGAGAUGCUAUACAGCCAAUGAAACUUAACCAUGUCUUUAAUAGGUGUGCCACCUUUUGUUAAAAUCAGUUAUCUUACAAGUAUCAUGAGAAAAAACAUUAGUAUCAACAGAUUGAAACAUUUAUUGGGAAGAAAGUGAGGCCACAGUCAGGAAAAAUAGCAUAAGCCACAACCUCUUAGUCAAGAAUCUUAGAAACAGCUGUGUUUCGUGUGUUUCAGAACUCUGAAUUGUUCUGAUUUUAGGAAAGUGACGUGUGCAUAUUCCACUUGGGGCCUGGGGCAACACCCUCAUCAAACUGAUAUUCCUGCAGCAAAAUACAAGCAGGACGAAAAGGAUCAUGGGUCGUCUCGUGCCAAAUCAGGGGAAGGCGCCCAGUCCCCAGGAGCACAAUCUGUCCUGGCCAUGCUUGUCCACCGAACUGCAGCUUACACUCUGCAGGUCCUGGAGCCCAAGAAAGACCCCGGGAGGGAGCUCCCGGCCAC